Molecule: ribosomal RNA, 460 nt
Filed under: uncultured bacterium
Lineage: Bacteria
Description: partial 16S ribosomal RNA
Rfam family: Bacterial small subunit ribosomal RNA
Source: RNAcentral
CCUACGAGUGGCAGCAGUGAGUAAUAUUGGUCAAUGGACGAGAGUCUGAACCCGCCAAGUAGCGUGAAGGCUGACUGCCCUAUGGGUUGUAAACUUCUUUUAUAAAGGAAUAAAACGAGUCACGUGUGCCUUUUUGCAUGUACUUUAUGAAUAAGGAUCGGCUAACUACGUGCCAGCAGCCGCGGUAAUACGGAGGAUCCGAGCGUUAUCCGUUUUUAUGUGGUUUAAAGGGAGCGUAGAUGGGUGGUUAAGUCAGUUGUGAAAGUUUGCGGCUCAACCGUAAAAUUGCAAUUGAUACUGGCAGUCUUGAGUACAGUUGAGGUAGGCGGAAUUCGUGGUGUAGCGGUGAAAUGCUUAGAUAUCACGAAGAACCCCGAUUGCGAAGGCAGCUUACUAAACUGUGACUGACAUUGAUGCUCGAAAGUGUGGGUAUCAAACAGGAUUAGAUACCCCAGUAGUC